RNAcentral lists this small RNA (29 nucleotides) under Bombyx mori (domestic silkworm). Its description in RNAcentral is "ovarian small RNA-8094". Lineage: Eukaryota; Metazoa; Arthropoda; Insecta; Lepidoptera; Bombycidae. The record is from RNAcentral.
UGACCGCACUACCCCCGUAUAGGGACGGC